AAGCCAGUCCUUCCCCCCAGCCCCCCGAAACCCGCCCCUCACUCUGACCCCUGCUCCGGGGGCGCUCCCCCCGCUCCCCUCCAGCUGCAAACUUUGCUGGCCUCGGGGAGCCGGUCCUGGCCCCGUUGGCGGUCAGGCCCGGGCCGGAGAGGGCUGGACGGGGCUUGCCGCUCCGCCGGGAGAGGACCCCCGGGCUCUGCCUUCGUCCGGAGGUCCGGCGCCCCGGGGCUGGGAGGGAGGGCGGGCGCCAGGGUCCCCCGGACUGGGGGCGCACCUCCGACUCUCCCCGCUUCGCCCUUCGCCUCCGGAUCCAGCCGCUCCGACCCGAGCCGGGAUGAGCACCAGGGAAGGCCGGGAAAGGGGCAGCCGGACACGGGCAGCCGGAGAGGGAAAAGAGGAGGGAAAAACCGGAGGGAAAACCGGAGAGGGCCCGAGCGCUACCCUGUGGCCACGCUCGGAGAGGAGACCGGCGCGCACGGGCACGGGAGAGGGGAGAAGGUAAACAGUGACCUUGGAUUUGCCUUCCUCCAGAUUCGCUGCCCGUCUCAAUGAAUCUUGAUAUUGACCUCGGGAGCUUUCGAUAUCUAUUUAUUGUUCAGAUAUUUCAGCGUCAAUAAACAGAAGCAUGAGGCAGCGCUGAGCAAGCCUGUCCUUUAAAAACCAA
This is a long non-coding RNA of Ornithorhynchus anatinus (platypus), 664 nucleotides long. RefSeq lists it as uncharacterized. The transcript has 2 exons. The record is from RefSeq and is a predicted model, not a curated record. NCBI's taxonomy places the organism in Eukaryota, Metazoa, Chordata, Mammalia, Monotremata, Ornithorhynchidae.